Molecule: long non-coding RNA, 309 nt
Filed under: Polistes dominula (European paper wasp)
Lineage: Eukaryota; Metazoa; Arthropoda; Insecta; Hymenoptera; Vespidae
Description: uncharacterized LOC107067681
Source: RNAcentral
AAGUUUGGAAUACUUAUAGUUUUUAUUGUGAUAUUUAUGUUUAAUUAUUUUUUUUUUUUUUUAGUAGUUUUCUAUAAGUACUUAUUGUUUGUGAUGAAUAAUCAUGGUUCGACAGUGUAUUCUUAAUUACUGAAAAGUUCAACAAGAACUACGCACGACCGUAAAUACCUUAUACCAUCGCGUAGGUAUAAUCACUAAAAUUUACAAAAUUUUAAGCAAACCAAUCUCAGUUCGAGUAAAACUAUGAUCAUGUAUCACAUUGAGAAAUAAAAAUGUGUUAAAAUAAAUCUAUUAUUUAAUUGUUUUAUA